GUGGGGAAUUUUGGACAAUGGGGGCAACCCUGAUCCAGCCAUGCCGCGUGCGGGAAGAAGGCCUUCGGGUUGUAAACCGCUUUUGUCAGGGAAGAAAUCCUUUGGGUUAAUACCUCGGAGGGAUGACGGUACCUGAAGAAUAAGCACCGGCUAACUACGUGCCAGCAGCCGCGGUAAUACGUAGGGUGCAAGCGUUAAUCGGAAUUACUGGGCGUAAAGCGUGCGCAGGCGGUUUUGUAAGACAGGCGUGAAAUCCCCGGGCUCAACCUGGGAAUUGCGCUUGUGACUGCAAGGCUGGAGUGCGGCAGAGGGGGAUGGAAUUCCGCGUGUAGCAGUGAAAUGCGUAGAUAUGCGGAGGAACACCGAUGGCGAAGGCAAUCCCCUGGGCCUGCACUGACGCUCAUGCACGAAAGCGUGGGGAGCAAACAGGAUUAGAAACCCCGGUAGUCC
This 450-nucleotide ribosomal RNA is filed under the name uncultured bacterium. Its description in RNAcentral is "partial 16S ribosomal RNA". It matches the Rfam family "Bacterial small subunit ribosomal RNA", at positions 354 to 796 of the family's 1533-position model. The record is from RNAcentral.